GCAUAUCAAUAAGCGGAGGAAAAGAAACUAACAAGGAUUCCCCCUAGUAACUGCGAGUGAAGCGGGAAAAGCUCAAAUUUAAAAUCUGGCAGUCUUUGGCUGUCCGAGUUGUAAUCUGGAGAAGCGUCUUCCGCGCUGGACCGUGUACAAGUCUCCUGGAACGGAGCGUCAUAGAGGGUGAGAAUCCCGUCUUUGACACGGACUACCAGUGCUUUGUGAUGCGCUCUCAAAGAGUCGAGUUGUUUGGGAAUGCAGCUCAAAAUGGGUGGUAAACUCCAUCUAAAGCUAAAUAUUGGCGAGAGACCGAUAGCGAACAAGUACCGUGAGGGAAAGAUGAAAAGCACUUUGGAAAGAGAGUUAAACAGUACGUGAAAUUGCUGAAAGGGAAACGCUUGAAGUCAGUCGCGUUUGCUAGGACUCAGCCUUGCCUCGGCUUGGUGCACUUCCUAGUAAACGGGCCAGCAUCACUUUUGGCUGCGGGAAAAAGGUCAGAGGAAUGUGGCACCUUCGGGUGUGUUAUAGCCUCUGGCUGCAUACCGUGGCUGGGAGUGAGGAACUCAGCACGCCUUACGGCGGGGCUUCGGCCACCUUCGUGCUUAGGAUGCUGGCGUAAUGGCUUUAAACGACCCGUCUUGAAACACGGACCAAGGAGUCUAACAUGCCUGCGAGUGUUUGGGUGGAAAACCCGAGUGCGUAAUGAAAGUGAAAGUUGGGACCUCUGUCGUGGAGGGCACCGACGCCCGGACCAGACCUUCGGUGACGGAUCUGCGGUAGAGCAUGUAUGUUGGGACCCGAAAGAUGGUGAACUAUGCCUGAAUAGGGUGAAGCCAGAGGAAACUCUGGUGGAGGCUCGUAGCGAUUCUGACGUGCAAAUCGAUCGUCAAAUUUGGGUAUAGGGGGCGAAAGACUAAUCGAACCAUCUAGUAGCUGGGUUCCUGCCCGAAGUUCCCCUCAG
Molecule: ribosomal RNA, 955 nt
Filed under: Meripilus vitreus
Lineage: Eukaryota; Fungi; Basidiomycota; Agaricomycetes; Polyporales; Meripilaceae
Description: LSU rRNA
Rfam family: Eukaryotic large subunit ribosomal RNA
Source: RNAcentral